CUAGUGGUUAUUGAUCUAGUGGUUAUUGAUCUAGUUAGUGGUUACUGAUCUAGUGGUUAUUGAUCUUGUGGUUAUUGAUCUAGUGAUUAUUGAUCUAGUGGUUAUUGAUGUAGUGAUAAUUGAUCUAGUGGUUAUUGAUUUAGUGGUUCUGAUCUAGUGGUUAUUGAUCUCGUGGUUACUGAUCUACUUUGUGAUUAUUGAUGUAGUGGUUACUGAACUAGUGGUUAUUGAUCUAGAUGUUAUUGAUCUAGUGGUUCUGAUCUAGUGGUUAUUGAUCUAGUGGUUAGUGAUCUAGUGGUUAUGGAUGUAGUUGUUAUUGAUCUAGAGGUUAUUGAUCUAGUGGUUAUUUAUCUAGUCGUUACUGAUCUAGUGGUUAUUGAUCUAGUGGUUACUGAUCUAGUGGUUAAUUUUCUAGUGGUUACUGAUCUAGUGGUUAUUGAUCUAGUGGUUACUGAUCUAGUGGUUAUUGAUCUACUCGUUACUGAUCUAGUGGUUAUUGAUCUAGUGGUUAUUUUUCUAGUGGUUACUGAUCUACUUAGUGGUUAUUGAUGUAGUGGUUACUGAUCUAGUGGUUAUUGAUCUAGUAGUUAUUGAUCUAGUUGUUAAUGAUCUAGUGGUUAUUGAUCUAG
RNAcentral lists this long non-coding RNA (629 nucleotides) under Salmo salar (Atlantic salmon). RNAcentral's name for it is "lncRNA (ENSSSAG00000090630.1)". Lineage: Eukaryota; Metazoa; Chordata; Actinopteri; Salmoniformes; Salmonidae. The record is from RNAcentral.